CCUACGGGUGGCAGCAGUGGGGGAUAUUGCACAAUGGGGGGAACCCUGAUGUCGCGACGCCGCGUGGGUGAAGGAGUGCUUCGGCAUGUAAAGCUCUAUCGGCAGGGAGGAAGCAAGACGGUACCUGACUAAGAAGCACCGGCUAACUACGUGCCAGCAGCCGCGGUAAUACGGAGGGGGCGAGCGUUAGUCGGAUUCACUGGGUGUAAAGGGAGCGGAGUCGGCAAGGCAAGCCAGGGGUGAAAGCCCCGGGCCCAACCCCGGAACUGCCCUUGGGACUGCAUGGCUGGAGUGCGGGAGGGGCAGGCGGAAGUCCAGGUGUAGCGGUGAAAUGCGUAGAUAUGAGGAGGAACACCGGCGGCGAAGGCGGCCUGCUGGAAUUCGACUGACGUUGAGGCGCGAAAGCGUGGGGAGCGAACAGGAUUAGAUACCCGAGUAGUC
RNAcentral lists this ribosomal RNA (441 nucleotides) under uncultured bacterium. RNAcentral's name for it is "partial 16S ribosomal RNA". It matches the Rfam family "Bacterial small subunit ribosomal RNA", at positions 338 to 795 of the family's 1533-position model. The record is from RNAcentral.